AUGCUGAGUGAGGAGGGGCGGGAGGACGCGGCCGCGGCAACGACUUGGAGGCCACGACGACGCGCGUGGAGGAGGGAGGGUCCGGUAGAGGUAGGAACGAGUCCGCACGUACGUACACACGACGCCCGGACGGAGCGGAGAGCAAUCGCGUCGCCAGGCAGGCAGUGCAGUGGGGACUCGUGUGCUUGUGUAUAUACUCGUGGACGUGCGGUGCUGCCGGCGCCAUUGCCCGGCCGGUACCGGGGAGCAGUUCGCAGUUGGAAUUUGCAAAGCCUGCUCCGACGACGACUGUCUUGCUGCGGCUGGAUGGAUUCUCUUGCAAGCAAGCAAGCGAGCCAGCGUAUCGUAUCAGCUUUACUACUCCUACUUACUUGA
RNAcentral lists this ribosomal RNA (375 nucleotides) under Triticum aestivum (bread wheat). RNAcentral describes it as "partial small subunit ribosomal RNA". Lineage: Eukaryota; Viridiplantae; Streptophyta; Magnoliopsida; Poales; Poaceae. The record is from RNAcentral.